CCACCGGACUCCUACGGGAGGCAGCAGUGGGGAAUAUUGCACAAUGGGCGCAAGCCUGAUGCAGCCAUGCCGCGUGUAUGAAGAAGGCCUUCGGGUUGUAAAGUACUUUCAGCAGUGAGGAAGGUGGAUAUGUUAAUAGCAUAUUCAUUUGACGUUAGCUGCAGAAGAAGCACCGGCUAACUCCGUGCCAGCAGCCGCGGUAAUACGGAGGGUGCGAGCGUUAAUCGGAAUUACUGGGCGUAAAGCGCAUGCAGGUGGUUUGUUAAGUCAGAUGUGAAAGCCCGGGGCUCAACCUCGGAAUUGCAUUUGAAACUGGCAAACUAGAGUACUGUAGAGGGGGUAGAAUUUCAGGUGUAGCGGUGAAAUGCGUAGAGAUCUGAAGGAAUACCGGUGGCGAAGGCGGCCCCCUGGACAGAUACUGACACUCAGAUGCGAAAGCGUGGGGAGCAAACAGGAUUAGAUACCCUGGUAG
Molecule: ribosomal RNA, 472 nt
Filed under: uncultured bacterium
Lineage: Bacteria
Description: bacterial SSU rRNA
Rfam family: Bacterial small subunit ribosomal RNA
Source: RNAcentral